This 520-nucleotide ribosomal RNA is filed under the name uncultured Archaeospora. Its description in RNAcentral is "SSU rRNA". It matches the Rfam family "Eukaryotic small subunit ribosomal RNA", at positions 591 to 1113 of the family's 1831-position model. Lineage: Eukaryota; Fungi; Glomeromycota; Glomeromycetes; Archaeosporales; Archaeosporaceae. The record is from RNAcentral.
CCAAUAGCGUAUAUUAAAGUUGUUGCAGUUAAAAAGCUCGUAGUUGAAUUUUGGAUUCUUCCAAUUGGUCGAUCUUUUAGAUGAGUACUGGUUGUGUGGGGUCUAUCCGCCUGGUGAUACGUAAUGUCCUUUAUUGGAUGUUGCGGGUAGUCAGGACCUUUACCUUGAAAAAAUUAGAGUGUUUAAAGCAGGCUUAUGCCGGAAUACAUUAGCAUGGAAUAAUAGAAUAGGACGAAGUUGUUUUAUUUUGUUGGUUUCUAGGACAACCGUAAUGAUUAAUAGGGAUAGUUGGGGGCAUUAGUAUUCAAUUGUCAGAGGUGAAAUUCUUGGAUUUAUUGAAGACUAACUACUGCGAAAGCAUUUGCCAAGGAUGUUUUCAUUAAUCAAGAACGAAAGUUAGGGGAUCGAAGACGAUCAGAUACCGUCGUAGUCUUAACCAUAAACUAUGCCGACUAGGGAUCGGGCGAUGUUGUUUCCAUGACUCGCUCGGCACCUUAUGGGAAACCAAAGUGUUUGGGUC